GGGUGAGGUUUUGGAAUUUGUGUCAAAUGUUCGGACUCCUUUGUGUUUUUCCAUACAAUACAAUGUAAAAUAGUUUGCCCCAUAACACCCAUUUAUUUUUUCAUAUAAAACUUAAUAGCUCAUGAAAGGUCCUUUACCAAAAUUUAAAAAGAUUCUUAAUUUUCUUUCUUUUGUUUUGAGACCUAAUAAUACCAAUGCAAAUAUAAGGUAAAAGUCUGAGUCAGCCUUUUCCCGCCAUAUUUUAAAUCUCAA
RNAcentral lists this long non-coding RNA (252 nucleotides) under Mytilus galloprovincialis (Mediterranean mussel). Lineage: Eukaryota; Metazoa; Mollusca; Bivalvia; Mytilida; Mytilidae. The record is from RNAcentral.